GUCAUUGCUCGUUAAGAAUUUUGUGGGGUGAUAUCGCGCGUUUAGUUGGAAAAUUACACGACAGUGCAAAAACCACAACUCGCUACUGUAUUCGACAAUGACGACAGUUGGAAAUACGUAAUUGAUGUGCUAAGGACGAAAAGACAGAGAAAAAAGGAGUGGUAAUAUACAGUGUUGAGCAGUGCAGCGUAUUGUUGUUUGUGACAAGUGAAAAGUAAACGUAAAGCACUGUAGUUUAUGUAAACGUGAAAUAUAAAUUAAAGUAUGUAAUUUAGUUUUUUAAGUAUACAAAAAAUAUUUCUAAAUUCUUAUUACCAGCAGCUGAAAGGAUUAAAUUGGACAACCAUUGAAACAAAAGUGACUGCAUGGAAGUGAAUGUGAAUUUAUUAAACUCUUAUUAACUUCAUCAAAAAAAAAAAACUAAUUAAUUUAACAAGUGCGUAAAUGUCCGAAAUAUUUAAUUUCAUAAAUUGUACACACAUAUAUGUAUGUAUGUGCAAAGAAAAAGUGUUAACAAUUUUUAAAUUUAAAGUGCGAUAUGUCUGAAGACGCGUCACAUAAAAUCAUACAUUAUUUGAACAGCACUGAAUAAAUAAAUAAUAACAAAAACGUUUUGCAGUUCCAACUCAUUUUUAUAUGGAUCUAAACUGCUUGCAAAUACUAGAUUUAAUUCAAAUGUAAAAUAGAUGGACAAAAAUGAAACUAAAUAGUGAAUAAGUAGAUUCUUCAAAGCCGAGAUUAGGAAGUGUUGCACCCUAAUGCUCUAAUUCAGACGAUAUGGGCACAACAUGGCCUCUGCACAUAUAUUGCAAUACAAACAUAACAGCACUAGAAAAUCAGCAACUGAAAAGCCAACACAAACAUUUUCAACAACAACAGCAACAAUUGAUGAAAAAUGUUUCGUGCGAUACACUUCCGGCACACCAGAGGCUUGCUGCGUUACUAACGAGCGGAAACAAUUUACAGACCAGCCGUCAGCUACAGCUUACAACGGAACAACAAGCACAGACACAGACACAGCCACAGUCACAGCCACAGUCACAGCCACACACCUUUCGACACAACGUCUGCCAAACACGCUCCUCGCUGUUAAAUCUGACACAAAACGACUGUUUAACGGUACAGCGAAAAAGGUUCAUCAGCCGACAGACGAUAUCCUACUACAAAUACAAAUACAACAACAAGGCUCGUCAAAUUUUUCAACAUUGCAAGCGAAUAUUGCCAACAAAGUCGACUGCACGUUUUUUGCCACCACAUCGUCAUGGAAACAAGCAACGGCUCCGAAGCGGCCAAGUUCAAGCCAACCGCCACCAUUGGUGUGGCCAAAUCAGAAAUGUUGUCAGCAAGAAGCAGAUGAUGUCGUCUGUAAGUACCACAGUGUGGAUUGUAGACGUCGGGGAAGAAGUAAAAGUGAAAGUGCUAUACUGGAAGAGCUACAUAAACAACGCCAACAACAGCAACAACAAGAAGAGCAACAAAGGAGAUGGCAUUCGGAGAGCAGUGGUGCGGUGUUGCCGUGUGAAGGCAUCAUUGCAGGCAUGUCAAGUGCAGCGAUAUCUAAUGUCGACGGCGACAGCGAGUGGCAGCAGCCGGAAAAGUGCCGACAAGAACAAAUAUGUCAUGACAUUGCUGACUUUGAUGUCGGCGUUACCGAGGGCUCAGGCAAAAUGUCUACAGAGAUUUGCGAUCAACAGUGGGCUCAAUCAACUACUUCCACGGGUAACAACAACAGCAACUACUACAAAACCAAAAGCUGCCAAUCAAACGAAACGAAAGAAAAACGCAAAUGUAUUGCUGUUGUUGCAGCCGCUAGUCAAGAAGCUGGUGACUGUGAUUGCUUGGACAAGCCACCUGUUGUCCAACCUUCGUCAUGCACACGCCAAUCUUCCAGAAAUGCUAACGAACAGCAAAACGAACCAAUGCAGCGAGGCAAACAAGCUGAAUCAAAAGAUUUCAAACUGCAAUUUUCACGACAACUCUUUCUUUCGGAAAAUCCCUGCUCAUUCGCUGUCCCAGCAACAUCUCAGCUACUUCGACAACAACCUCAAAGAGCAGCCGGUAAACCAACCAGAUCGCUGCUUUUACAAUCUACGGAAGCAGUUAAUGAAAUGCCCGAACAACGAAAUAUUUUUCACACUAAAAAAGUAUACAACAACAACAACAGCAUUUCCUCUUACAACGCUCUUGAUACUGUUGCUGACAUACUCCAUAUUGGCAGCAGCAAAGCAACAAGUGCUGUUGGCUUUAAUAAUGAUUACAUUGCAAUCGCUGCAACAACAUCUACAGCAAUGUGCUCCACUUUCUUGGCGGCAGUGCGUUCAAAACUGCUCUACACCCUGGCUGAUCUACAGGCAUACUCACGCGCUCUACUCUCGCUCAUCAUUAUCCUCAAUGUGCUGCCGUUAUUUUCAGCAGUGGCGUACAAUUUCGAUGCUGCUUCUGAAUUAAGAGCAAACGGUGGGCCCAAUCCGGCAGCACAACCAUGGAUACCCAUUGUGGCUUACUUGGAAACACCACCGAGACCUACAAAAGCUCCAAAAUGUGACCAGACAUUCGUUUCACGCAUUGGUGGGCCGCAGAAUGGCACAUUCUCUGCGCCGCUGCUGCACAAUCACAAAAAUCAUUCACGUCAAUGCUUGUACACUUUCCUAGCAGGACCCGGACAACGUGUCGAAGUACUAUUUACAUCAUUUAAUUUAAGAGGAAGUCCACCAGAUGGUUCCGCCGUGGGGGAAUUACCAGCCUGUGUUCACGAGUACAUGGAUAUAUAUUCUGAAGUGCAAUCAUCAGAUCCAGCUGAAUUAAUAAAUUCACCAUUUGGUGGACGGUAUUGUGGUACAAUACCGCCACGACGACGAAUUUCCAUGUACCGAGCUAUAGCCAUUUCAUUUUUUACGAAUAAGAAUGUAUCAACACCCGAUUUAUUCGAAGGAACUUAUAGAUUUAUAAAUGCAUCUGAAUAUGAAAUUGGUAUACCAAUAGCGGGUUCACCAUGUUCCUACACCAUCACGCCUAGCAUGAGUAUCAAUAAAACUGGGGCACUUAUAUCGCCAACUUAUCCGGGUGCCUAUCCAAAGGAUAUGUCAUGCACAUAUCAAUUUCUCGGCGAAUCAAAUCAAAGAGUUAGAUUAGAAUUUCGUGAUUUUGAUCUGUUUUUUGGUGGACCACACUGCCCAUUUGACUAUGUCAAAGUGUAUGAUGGUCCCGAUAAUUCGUCAGCAUUAAUUGGUACAUAUUGCGGACAGCAAAGGAAUUUAGUAUUAUAUUCAAGCGAAUCGAGCCUUUUUGUUCAUUUUUAUACAUUGCCGAGAACAGCAAAUACACAAAAUCGUGGCUUUAAAGGAAUUUAUGAAUUUAGCGAAAGUUUUGUUAAAUUAGAUUUUAUACGUGAAAAUGAUGGCAUUCACAUACGUGGCUCGGAAUGUGAUCAAAAAAUAUUAUCGAGAAAGGAGUCAACGGGUUUUGUGCUUUCACCAAAUUACCCCUAUCCAUAUAUACCGAAAACAGUUUGUAGGUACUUCAUUUACGGUAUGCAAGAUGCUCAGCAUCUGGAACGCGUACGUCUGGAAUUUUCAGCUUUCAAUAUACCAAAGGUAGAGCAUAAGGAUAAAAGCGAAUCCAAUUGCACAGAUGGUUAUCUCAAGAUUUAUCUGAAAGGACAAGAAACUGCCGAUGCCUAUGAUAAAUUCGAUUAUGAAUUGUGUGGCAAUGAAACACAACGAGUUCUUAGCGAUGGACCACGUUUGGCAAUGGUUUUCAGUUCGGGUGAGCUGCAAGGACGCGGUUUCAAAGGUAAAUACGUAUUUGAAACUGAAUACAAAAUACCCGGCACAGCUGCACCUGAUGGCACCUGUAGCUUCACAUAUGUGAGUAGUUCGAAAAAACGUGGCGAACUAAAUAGUCCACGAUAUCCAUCCAAUUAUCCAUCGGACACGAAUUGUUCGUAUCUGUUUUUGGGCGAACCAAACGAACAGGUCACGAUCGUUUUCGAUCAUUUUAAAAUAAAAGCGGAUGGUAAUUCAAAUGCAACUGCCGGAGCUUAUGGCUCUAGUGCAUGUUUCGAAGACUGGUUGGAAAUGUACGUUGUUUAUCGCGAUAACAAUGAUCGUUUUCUUGGUCGCUACUGUGGUUUGACAGCACCCGGCCCCGUUGAGAGCCCAAGGGGUGCGGUUGGUCUGCGCAUCACAUUGCAUACGGAUCAAGAGAAUGUAGCUAGCGGUUUCAAGGCUCGUUAUUUCUUCGAAACUCCUCGCACUGACGUUGCGGAGUGUGGUGGCAAUUUCUCUAAUCUAGAUUCGGGUAUUAUAACCUCGCCUAAUUAUCCAGCUGGUUACAAAGCACCCAGUCGCGGUAUGGCAUCGAUGGCAUGCAAUUGGAUAAUGACAGCACGUCCAGGUUAUAAGUUAUCGAUAAACUUUGAGCACUUCUCUAUCGAAGGUGACCCAGCAAAUCGUGGUUGUCCUGCUGCUGUGCUACGCCUUUGGGUUAAUGUUGACUCCGAUCAACCGCCGUUGGAAUUGUGUGGUGAAAAACCUCUCAUAGAACAGUGGUAUUAUAUUUCCACUGGACAAACUGUCCGUAUAAGUUUUACAACCAGCGAUAAAACCGUUGGUGCACCGGGCUUCCGCAUUGUAUGGACUGAAAUACAAGACUCAGGUCCAGGACCACCGUCCAUUGGGCUACUCUGUGAAUCAACAUACCACUUCCAAUGUGAGGUGGGCUACUGCAUUUCCGAUAAAUUACGUUGUGAUGGUGUCAAAAACUGUGGUCCUGGCGAUGAUAGUGACGAAUUGCACUGUGAGUCGUACCACACAAGCACCCGAGGAGGAUCACGGCGUUCUAAUUAUAAUAACACUAAUCGUCGUCUCGUUCCUAAUCUGUCUCCUAUGCACACUCUAUCACUCCAGAAGAAAACGUAGAGCCCAUGUGCGGCAGCUGGGCUUACAUCGCAACGCCCACUACGAUUCACAAACGAGCGCAACUGUUUUUAAAAAAUUUUAGGUUUUAUGAGCACAUUAGUUAAUUUAUGCACUAUAUUGAUACAGAAACUUUACACGCUGCCAG
This 5064-nucleotide unclassified non-coding RNA is filed under the name Ceratitis capitata (Mediterranean fruit fly). RNAcentral describes it as "uncharacterized LOC101461827, transcript variant X2". The record is from RNAcentral. Lineage: Eukaryota; Metazoa; Arthropoda; Insecta; Diptera; Tephritidae.